AACGAACGCUGGCGGCAUGCCUAACACAUGCGAGUCGAACGAGACCUUCGGGUCUAGUGGCGCACGGGUGCGUAACGCGUGGGAACCUGCCCCUAGGUUCGGAAGAACUCCCCGAAAGGGGUGCUAAUACCGGAUAAUGUCUUCGGACCAAAGAUUUAUCGCCUUUGGAUGGGCCCGCGUUGGAUUAGCUAGUUGGUAGGGUAAAAGCCUACCAAGGCGACGAUCCAUAGCUGGUCUGAGAGGAUGAUCAGCCACACUGGGACUGAGACACGGCCCAGACUCCUACGGGAGGCAGCAGUGGGGAAUAUUGGACAAUGGGCGAAAGCCUGAUCCAGCAAUGCCGCGUGAGUGAUGAAGGCCUUAGGGUUGUAAAGCUCUUUUACCCGGGAUGAUAAUGACAGUACCGGGAGAAUAAGCGCCGGCUAACUCCGUG
This 433-nucleotide ribosomal RNA is filed under the name uncultured bacterium. RNAcentral's name for it is "partial 16S ribosomal RNA". It matches the Rfam family "Bacterial small subunit ribosomal RNA", at positions 29 to 507 of the family's 1533-position model. The record is from RNAcentral.